UCGGGAAUUUUGGGCAAUGGGCGAAAGCCUGACCCAGCAACGCCGCGUGAAGGAUGAAGUAUUUCGGUAUGUAAACUUCGAAAGAAUAGGAAGAAUAAAUGACGGUACUAUUUAUAAGGUCCGGCUAACUACGUGCCAGCAGCCGCGGUAAUACGAAGGGAGCUAGCGUUGUUCGGAAUCACUGGGCGUAAAGCGCACGUAGGUGGGCAGUUAAGUCAGGGGUGAAAGCCCGAGGCUCAACCUCGGAAUUGCCUCUGAUACUGGCUGUCUAGAGUUCGAGAGAGGUGAGUGGAAUUCCUAGUGUAGAGGUGAAAUUCGUAGAUAUUAGGAAGAACACCGGUGGCGAAGGCGGCUCACUGGCUCGAUACUGACACUGAGGUGCGAAAGCGUGGGGAGCAAACAGGAUUAGAUACCCGGGUAGUCCCUGAGCGGGCUGGCAAGGCGCAU
Molecule: ribosomal RNA, 447 nt
Filed under: uncultured bacterium
Lineage: Bacteria
Description: bacterial SSU rRNA
Rfam family: Bacterial small subunit ribosomal RNA
Source: RNAcentral